GAUGAACGCUAGCGACAGGCUUAACACAUGCAAGUCGAGGGGCAGCGGGGGUGGAGCUUGCUCCACCCGCCGGCGACCGGCGCACGGGUGAGUAACACGUAUGGAACCUGCCCUGCACAGGGGGAUAAGCGAAAGAAAUUUCGUCUAAUACCGCAUAACACCUUCGGGAGACAUCUCCCGGAGGUCAAAGGGAGCAAUCCCGGUGCAGGAUGGCCAUGCGGCGCAUUAGCUGGUUGGCGGGGUAACGGCCCACCAAGGCGACGAUGCGUAGGGGUUCUGAGAGGAAGGUCCCCCACAUUGGAACUGAGACACGGUCCAA
RNAcentral lists this ribosomal RNA (319 nucleotides) under uncultured bacterium. RNAcentral's name for it is "bacterial SSU rRNA". It matches the Rfam family "Bacterial small subunit ribosomal RNA", at positions 28 to 334 of the family's 1533-position model. The record is from RNAcentral.